GGUAUCAAGAUGAGUAAGCCUCAGUUGUCAAGGAGUUUAAUGUCAAUACUAAGAUAAGACAAUAAUUAAGGAACUGUAACAUGCUGCAGAGGAAUCAGAGGCAGCCAAGGGCACAUCUGUUAAAGGAGGGAUCAGGAAGCCUUCCUCCAUACCUAAUACUUGAGCUGGGUCAUGAUGAACAGUGGGAAAGCAACAGAGUGAGACCCAACACAAGAGGACACCAUUCCCGCAAGCAAUAAUGUGGGUACACGAGAAAGGUGAAGCAGGGUAAAAGAACAGUCAAUCAUCCACUAUGGCCAAACUUGUGAUACACAUAAGGGAUAAAACUGUGAUAAUCUGUGGAAAGGCUAGAAUGCUAGGUUAAAGCAUUUAGGUUAAUUCACAGUAUCAGCACAGAAGAAAAUGGACCUCAUAUUGAUAAAAACUUGUGGGGAAGACUGAAGGCAGUACAAUCAGUGAGACUGCAAAAUUCCAGGUUCAAGACAGAGGUGAGGUCACUAAGGUCACUCAGGAAGGCAACUCACCCAACUGAAAACAUUCAACUUGCCACUUUUACUAAAAGUACAAAUGUUUUUUUUUUUAUUAUUUUUAUAAUUUGUUCCUAAAAAAAUAACCAGCGAGGGAAGAAAAAAAGAUCAAGUAUGUAAUGAAAAUCUGAUAUUACAAG
This is a long non-coding RNA of Felis catus (domestic cat), 667 nucleotides long. RefSeq lists it as uncharacterized. The record is from RefSeq and is a predicted model, not a curated record. The transcript is spliced from 2 exons. Lineage: Eukaryota; Metazoa; Chordata; Mammalia; Carnivora; Felidae.